UUAUUAGCUUGCUUGGCCACUUCUAUAAAGUUGUUGCUCCUUAGUAAAGUGAUUUUUUAUGGGAGCUUCGCUAUACAUCCAUGUGCUAGGUGUUUUAACUUUUCUGUAUAGUCAAUCAUGCAAAUGCUUUAGUUUCUCAGCUCGUCCAACUAAGUUCGUUGCGACACUAUAGUUGAGUUUGAGGAGUUGUUCAUUUUUUUCGACAAAUGAGGAGUUGUUCACAGAUUUUUCUUUGCUAAAAAACAAAGUUGUCUAUGUUCCAUACUUUUUCGAGUUUACUUUGAUGUUUUAGCAACAUCCUUAAGUUGCUUUACACUUUAUCCAAAGUUGCUUAUUCCGUUUCAUUAAGUUGAUUAAUGACUUUAGCUUAAGUUGAUUAGUCAUUUCAUCUUAAGUUGCAUUCCACUUUAUCCUAAGUUGCUUUUUCCAUGUAAUUAAAUUGAUUAGUCCCUUUAUCUUAAGUUGCUUCCACUUUAUCCUAAGUUGCAUAUCAUGUUUUAUUAAGCUGAUUAUCCACUUUAGUUCAUGUUGUUUUCCGCUUUCUCCUAAUUUCUUAUGGACCAGGGGAUCAUGACUCCAUGCUUGUAGGUCACCUUGGUUAAACACUUGCAUUUUCAAUUCGGUAGCUCAUUGAAAGAGUGCCUGCUCUAGUUGCAUCCCAGUUGGGGGUGUAUGCAACUAAUGCAAUGUCAGCAUCAACUCAUCCUAUGAGUUAUCCCAGGUGCUUAUUUGUGAUAUUGCUAAGUUGUACCGAGAAGCGGUGAAUCCCGGGAGGCGUAGCUAGUACCAUCUCGAGCGUGGUGGUGGAGGAGACCAUGGCGCCUAACUCGAGCAGGUACGGCGCCAUCAUGCCUAGCGCAAGCGCAAGCCCGCCGUUGCCCCUAUCCAAGUAGUUGCGGUUUCCAUUGAAAUCCAGAUCUUCAUAGAGAUCCGGAGGAGGAAUAAGAGAUGAAAGUUUCGUCUUGCAGAACAAGUAUUUGGAGGAGCAAGGAGAGCGGAAGUAGUUUGCCAAGCGAUCUCGCGCGCUGCUGUAUACUGAUUUUUUUCCUUACGUGUAACCUCCCUGAUGAUUUUUCCAUCACCUGUAACCUCCUUUUUUGC
Long non-coding RNA from Lolium rigidum, 1101 nucleotides. RefSeq lists it as uncharacterized. Lineage: Eukaryota; Viridiplantae; Streptophyta; Magnoliopsida; Poales; Poaceae. The transcript is spliced from 4 exons. The record is from RefSeq and is a predicted model, not a curated record.